GCCCGGGUGGUGGAAUGGCAGACACGCACGACUCAAAAUCGUGUGCCGCAAGGCAUGAGAGUUCGAGUCUCUCCCCGGGCACCA
Molecule: transfer RNA, 84 nt
Filed under: bacterium
Lineage: Bacteria
Description: tRNA-Leu
Rfam family: tRNA
About the family: Transfer RNA (tRNA) molecules are approximately 80 nucleotides in length. Their secondary structure includes four short double-helical elements and three loops (D, anti-codon, and T loops).
Source: RNAcentral